Molecule: non-coding RNA, 322 nt
Organism: Myodes glareolus (Bank vole)
Lineage: Eukaryota; Metazoa; Chordata; Mammalia; Rodentia; Cricetidae
Source: RefSeq, a predicted model, not a curated record
CAAGAAGAUGUCCGAGGAUUCUUGUGUUUGAAAACCACUUGUUCAGAAGGUUGACCGACCCUGCUCUGACCUCAGAAAUGAUCAGGCUAUGGGAGGUGUGGACAGGAGCCAAGAUGACAGCUGAAAAACGCUGCUGCUGCCUGACACAGUCGAGGCUCCUGCGGUCCACCUGCCCAGCAAGUGCCUCCUCCACCCACGACUGGUACCACUCUGGUUCUGAUUCAGGGAACGUUGUAAUGGUCUGUCCUGUCCUUUUAAGAGACAAGCCCCGGCCACCAGACAGUGGACAGAAUCACUGGAAUUGAGAGCCUCGCUCUUCAGG